GAAAGGGUGUAUGAGCCAGAGAUAUUUUGAGUUUGGUAUAUAUUGAUAUAUUUGCAUUCAUGAACAUAAAUGCCAGAAGAGAGCUUACUAAUUCAUUAAAAUUUUUGACGAUCUAUCUUGGCAUGGGUGCGUCUUGCUUAUGAAGCACAAGUUCGAAUCGGUUGAAAUGUUUAAAUAAUUUCAUAAUGAGGUAGAAAAAUAAAUUGCAAAGAGUAUUAAAACUAAUCGGUU
This 231-nucleotide long non-coding RNA is filed under the name Elaeis guineensis (African oil palm). Its description in RNAcentral is "long non-coding RNA (EGUI_LNC046167)". The record is from RNAcentral. Lineage: Eukaryota; Viridiplantae; Streptophyta; Magnoliopsida; Arecales; Arecaceae.